This 507-nucleotide ribosomal RNA is filed under the name uncultured organism. RNAcentral describes it as "SSU rRNA". It matches the Rfam family "Bacterial small subunit ribosomal RNA", at positions 8 to 509 of the family's 1533-position model. The record is from RNAcentral.
AGAGUUGACUCCUGGCUCAGGACGAACGCUGGCGGCGUGCUUAACACAUGCAAGUCGAGCGGGGAUAUGUUGGAUGAGAGCUUCGGCAGGAUUCCGGUAUAUUCUAGCGGCGGACGGGUGAGUAACGCGUGAACAAUCUGUCCCGGACAGGGGGAUAACACUUGGAAACAGGUGCUAAUACCGCAUGAGACCACAGCAUCGCAUGGUGCAGGGGUAAAAGGAGGAAUCCGGUUCGGGGUGAGUUCGCGUCCGAUUAGAUAGUUGGUGAGGUAACGGCCCACCAAGUCGACGAUCGGUAGCCGACCUGAGAGGGUGAUCGGCCACAUUGGAACUGAGAGACGGUCCAAACUCCUACGGGAGGCAGCAGUGGGGAAUAUUGGGCAAUGGGCGAAAGCCUGACCCAGCAACGCCGCGUGAGUGAAGAAGGCUUUCGGGUUGUAAAGCUCUGUUAUGGAGGACGAAGGAAGUGACGGUACUCCAUAAGGAAGCCCCGGCUAACUACGUGCC